AUACUAUUUGCGACCGUAAGUUUGGGUUUAGCCCGCUUGUGUUUGUGCCCGGCUCUGGCUAUAUUAAAAAAGAAUU
This 76-nucleotide small RNA is filed under the name Arabidopsis thaliana (thale cress). RNAcentral's name for it is "ATSL045330". The record is from RNAcentral. Lineage: Eukaryota; Viridiplantae; Streptophyta; Magnoliopsida; Brassicales; Brassicaceae.